Macrobrachium nipponense is the source of this 471-nucleotide long non-coding RNA. RefSeq lists it as uncharacterized. NCBI's taxonomy places the organism in Eukaryota, Metazoa, Arthropoda, Malacostraca, Decapoda, Palaemonidae. The record is from RefSeq and is a predicted model, not a curated record. The transcript has 3 exons.
CUUUGGACCACCUGGAGGAGUGGGUCGAAUCACCUAGGUCGGGAACUGCUGGCAAACGCUGUACAAGACACAUUUUACAGUACAGAGCCUUUGCAUUAUUGGAGAGUGAAGAUUCUACACGAGAAUAACACCGAAACCAGCCUGGCCCGGGCGUUCUUGCAUGAGCUGCUGCAUUGCCGAGUUAGCCGAAACUUCCAGAAGCAAAUCGAUUACAUGAGCCGUCAAGAUUUCUACAUGAGAUGGAACACUUUCUUCUCGCGGAGGUGCAGACCGAUGAGGCUUUGCGGCAAGAGGAAGUUUGUCAAUCACAUGUGUCGUCGUGCACACAUUCAUAUAGUUAAGGUUCUACGCUUAUCACUGAAAUGGGCGUGGUCUAUACUCCAGGACAACGGACUCGACCUCAAGAUCAUUUAUGUGGCUCGAGAUCCCCGGGCGGUUCUGGUGUGAGUAGCUCCUGUGUCCUCUGGUUGG